Molecule: non-coding RNA, 54 nt
Organism: Sus scrofa (pig)
Lineage: Eukaryota; Metazoa; Chordata; Mammalia; Artiodactyla; Suidae
Source: Rfam
AAAGUGGCUUAUGCAACUGCCAUGGACUGGUUUAUUGCUGUUUGUUAUGCCUUU